AGCGAACGCUGGCGGCAGGCCUAACACAUGCAAGUCGAACGAACUCUUCGGAGUUAGUGGCGGACGGGUGAGUAACACGUGGGAACGUGCCUUUUGGUUCGGAAUAACUCAGGGAAACUUGUGCUAAUACCGAAUGUGCCCUUCGGGGGAAAGAUUUAUCGCCAUUAGAGCGGCCCGCGUCUGAUUAGCUAGUUGGUGAGGUAACGGCUCACCAAGGCGACGAUCAGUAGCUGGUCUGAGAGGAUGACCAGCCACACUGGGACUGUGACACGGCCCAGACUCCUACGGGAGGCAGCAGUGGGGAAUCUUGCGCAAUGGGCGAAAGCCUGACGCAGCCAUGCCGCGUGAAUGAUGAAGGUCUUAGGAUUGUAAAAUUCUUUCACCGGGGACGAUAAUGACGGUACCCGGAGAAGAAGCCCCGGCUAACUUCGUG
RNAcentral lists this ribosomal RNA (433 nucleotides) under uncultured bacterium. RNAcentral describes it as "partial 16S ribosomal RNA". It matches the Rfam family "Bacterial small subunit ribosomal RNA", at positions 29 to 507 of the family's 1533-position model. The record is from RNAcentral.